CAGUAGCCGCGGGAACACGGAGGAUCCAAGCGUUAUCCGGAAUCAUUGGGUUUAAAGGGUCCGUAGGCGGUCUUGUAAGUCAGUGGUGAAAGCCCAUCGCUCAACGGUGGAACGGCCAUUGAUACUGCAGGACUUGAAUUAUUGGGAAGUAACUAGAAUAUGUAGUGUAGCGGUGAAAUGCUUAGAGAUUACAUGGAAUACCAAUUGCGAAGGCAGGUUACUACCAAUUGAUUGACGCUGAUGGACGAAAGCGUGGGUAGCGAACAGGAUUAGAUACCCGUGUAGUCCCUGUCUCUUAUCA
This 301-nucleotide ribosomal RNA is filed under the name uncultured bacterium. RNAcentral's name for it is "partial 16S ribosomal RNA". It matches the Rfam family "Bacterial small subunit ribosomal RNA", at positions 509 to 809 of the family's 1533-position model. The record is from RNAcentral.